GGUAUCCAUACAAUUUUCAAAUUAACCAAAACGUCACUCUGUAUGCAUUCAUCAAGAUCUUUCAUACAGUUUUGAGGCCCUUACACCAACCAUGCUUUCUGUACUCCAAAAUGUUACAGUGCCAUCAGAUUCGAGUCAGCUGGAAAGAUCUGAACAGCACAGUAGCCAAACUGCGGCAGAGGAAGCAGCUGUAGUGUGCUGCAGUGAUGGGUCUGACUUGGAGUCAGACACAGUACACCAGCCUACUAAAAGAGUAGCAGCUCAAGGUUCUUCAGUAGCUCCAACAGCUAUUUCAUCUUUGAAGCGCAGCAAACAAGAAAACGUUGUCUGGAAGCUAAAGCUGGAGAAUGCAAAAGAAAAAAUUAAGUCCUUGGAGAAUGAAAGGGACUUCUUAAGGAACCAACUGUCUGAGGGUAAUCGAUAAUGAAAAAUUAUUUGAAUAAACAGUAUUAGGAUUUAUUGGCAUCUGAUGGUUUUAAGGCAAAAAAACACACAACAACCCCUACAGAUUUUCUCAUCUACAAUUGCUUGCAGAGUCCACAUGUCUUUGCUGAAGUAAACAAUUGCAUCACGAGUAACAGUCAUUUGGCAUCAAAACAUUUCAAUAACCAUACCAUAUAAGACAGGCACCACCAAAUGGCGGGCCUGGGCCGGACCCAGACACCACACCAUCCUUCAGUCCCGAUCAAAAACCCUGAGAGGACAGGCUACUGCCUACUUCUCUCACUGAACAAGAAGAGACAGUGGAGGGGUGGGAUUGAGGAGGAAAAACGUUAAAUGUGUUCAGGUUGUUUAUUGGGGGCCAAGCAUUGAAUUUGUAUCCCUUCUUAUUUAACCCUAACCCUCUUUUUUUAUUCAACCAUUGAAGUCCAUGGGAGCCCAUAGAACUGUAUGUUGAAAAGUAAUGAAAUUUGGUACACUGGUAGACGGUUGUGCAAGGAGGCCAUGGCGUGAAUUUCAUGUUGAUUGGCCAAAAGGCAGCACUUUAGCUAACAGAAGAGGCAGUAUAUGAUGCCAAAGGUGUGCUGCAGAGACCUCAUUGUUUACUGUACAUUGUAUGGCCUUAACAGCCAGGAACUCGCAGAUCUUUUCAUCCAUUAUUAUUAAUUUUACACUUGAUACAUUUGGGCAUAAUGUAAAAUACUUUUAAGUUUCACUUUUGACUUGUGAUGGCAGCUAACAAGUGAUGGUCACAGCUAAGGGCUGCAUGGCAGUUUAGAAAAAAUAGAUAGUUUUUGUCUUGCAGCCUCUAUUUUCAUUAAGGUGGAAGCAUCUGAUUGUUUGUCUUUUCUAUGCCAUCCCAAAAAUCUAAAUCACUCUACCCUAAAGUGGGGGAGCCCAGGUGUACAUUUAAGUAUAAGUAUAACGCUAGAAUGAUUGGGAGUGAGUGAUAAUUUCACACCCCUAUUGGUAACACUAGUAACGUGCUUAUCGUCUUGCUUGUUUCAGCUUUGGCGCUUGCAAAUAAAGAGGACCAAGUCACGGCAGCGCCCU
This is a long non-coding RNA of Gadus macrocephalus (Pacific cod), 1494 nucleotides long. RefSeq lists it as uncharacterized. NCBI's taxonomy places the organism in Eukaryota, Metazoa, Chordata, Actinopteri, Gadiformes, Gadidae. The transcript is spliced from 3 exons. The record is from RefSeq and is a predicted model, not a curated record.